Molecule: long non-coding RNA, 440 nt
Organism: Tachysurus fulvidraco (yellow catfish)
Lineage: Eukaryota; Metazoa; Chordata; Actinopteri; Siluriformes; Bagridae
Exons: 2
Source: RefSeq, a predicted model, not a curated record
UUGGUUUUGUUUUCUCUCCUUUUUGAAACUGUUCACCUUUUUAAAAAUGUUUAUUAAGAAUUGUAUAAUGGUCAUGUGCAAGCGUGAGGGUGGAGCUGACGUAAUUUCCGGUGUGCGCUCUCUUUCGCGGGAUUUCAAUGCGAUGAGAGGCACUUCUCGAUCAGACGUAAUCCUGUUACUGCCUGAUGCUGUCUGUUGUGUGUAACACAGGUAUGUAAAUAGAUAAUUUCAGUGUUCGUUCCUAUUCUUAGAUUUUCUUAUUUCUCAUGUUACAAUUGUAUGUUUGAUAUUUUGUUUUAAUGCUCUCUUUCGCGGGAUUUCAAUGCGAUGAGAGGCACUUCUCGAUCAGACGUAAUCCUGUUACUGCCUGAUGCUGUCUGUUGUGUGUAACACAGAGGAGAGAUCCCGAGAGGCCAAAAGUAAACCAUUUGACAACUGCA